AGUCUGGUGCCAGCAGCCGCGGUAAUUCCAGCUCCGAGAGUGUAUAUUAAAGUUGUUGCUGUUAAAAAGCUCGUAGUCGAAGGUUGAGGUUGUCGUAGUUUGUCAGUCUCGAAGCAAUUCGAGUUUUACUGACCUGGACGAUCUCUCUUUCCGGCGCUUAGAUGUUUGUUUGCUUAAUUGUACGCAUGGCAUUUGGCUCGGAACUUUCACUUUGAAAAAAUUGGAGUGUUCAAAGCAGGCCCUUGUUGGCCUCUGAACAAUUUAGCAUGGAAUGAUGAAACAAGACUUUUGGUCUUCGAUUUCGUUGGUUUGCGAGACCAAAGUAAUGAUUAAUAGGGAUAGUUGGGGGCAUUUGUAUUCCCAAGCUAGAGGUGGAAUUCUUGGAUUUUGGGAGGACAAACUUCUGCGAAAGCAUUUGCCAUGGAUGUUUUCAUUGAUCAAGAGCGACAGUGAAGGGAUCGAAAAGGAUUAGAGACCCUUGUAGUCUUCACCAUAAACUAUGCCGACUCGGGAUGGGUAGGUGUUACUAAAAUGACCCUCUCUGCACCGUAUGAGAAAUCAAAGUUUUUGGGUUCAGGGGGGAGUAUGGUCGCAAGGCUGAAACUUAAAGGAAUUGACGGAACGACACCACCAGGAGUGGAGCCUGCGGCUUAAUUUGACCCAACACGGGAAAACUUACCAGGUCAGGACAUGUGAAGGAUUGACAGAUUGAUAGCUCUUUCUUGAUUAUAUGGGUGGUGGCGCAUGGCCGUUUUUAGUUGGUGGAGUGAUUUGUCUGGUUAAUUCCGUUAACGAACGAGACCGUUGCCUGCUAAAUAGUUUCGCAUAUUUUCGGAUAUGUUUUUUGGAACUUCUUAGAGGGACUUCUUGCGAUUAGCAAGAGGAAGUUGGCGGCAAAAACAGGUCUGUGAUGCCCUUAGAUGUUCUGGGCCGCACGCGCGCUACACUGACGGGUUCAACAAGUUUUCUUACAUUCUCUUUGAGAUUAUAUGUCUUCCCUGCUCGAAAGGGCUGGGUAAUCUUUGAACACCCGUCGUGAUGGGGAUAGACCCUUGCAAUUAUUGGUCUUCAACGAGGAAUUCCUAGUAGUCGCAACUCAUCAGGUUGCAGCGAUUACGUCCCUGUCGUUUGUACACACCGCCCGUCGCUUCUACCGAUGAAUGCUCAGGCAAACCUUUCGGAUUCCUUGACAGUGCAGGUUCGCCAGCAGUGUUUUUUAGGGAAAAGUCAUGUGAACCUUAUCAUUUAGAGGAAGAAGAAGUC
This 1263-nucleotide ribosomal RNA is filed under the name metagenome. RNAcentral describes it as "SSU rRNA". It matches the Rfam family "Eukaryotic small subunit ribosomal RNA", at positions 558 to 1790 of the family's 1831-position model. The record is from RNAcentral.